CACACGAGCAGUACGUGCGGUUAUGCACGCC
This 31-nucleotide small RNA is filed under the name Bombyx mori (domestic silkworm). RNAcentral describes it as "ovarian small RNA-12899". Lineage: Eukaryota; Metazoa; Arthropoda; Insecta; Lepidoptera; Bombycidae. The record is from RNAcentral.